CAGAGACUCAACCCUCUUCAACAUGAACAAAGCUCUGGUCUGUGCUGUCUUCAUCUUGCUGGUGCUUUCUGUGUUCACAGAGGCCAUGGAGGGGAAUCCUAUAAACACAAAUGGCAAUGUGAAUGCAACCAGCGCCACAGGCAAGCAGGACUAGUUACACCAGUGACGGUAACUCCAAUGGCAACAUUUUGGUAAUUGAGGAUUUUUGAAAAUGGAGGGCACAGAUGCUCGAAUCUAAGGUCCUUAAACCUUUAAAAAUAAUGUGCCAAAGUGUUUUUGAUUCAUAAUUUUGCUCACAGUGUAAUUUCCCUUCAUUUAACAUUUGUAACACCAAUUACCCUAUUUAGACACAAAAUGAUCAAUGGAAUCCUCAAAUGUAUGAGACACUAAAAGGGCGUGAUUAGCUAAUAAUUGUAUUUAAUAUAGACCCUUCCAGUGCAACACUUUUCCACUAGAGGUCAAUGCAAGGUCCUUGUAAAUCUUUGUAAUGAGUGAUUUUCAAGGGGGUUACACCGAUGGGGAUAAAACUUAGGGACACAUAUUAUAUUUGUAAAAAUAAGAGUAAUUGUAAUAGCCUGUUUUGUUUUUAUUGAUAAGUACAAUAUACAGUUGAUGUCAGAAGUUCAGCCAAAUACAUUUAAAAUCCGUUUUUCACAAUUCCUGACAUUUAAUCCAAGUAACAAUUCCCCCUGUCUUAGGCCAGUUAGGAUCACCACUUUAUUUUAAGAAUGUGAAAUGUCAGGAUAAUAGUAGAGAGAAUGAUUUAUUUCAGCUUUUAUUUCUUUCAUCACAUUCCCAUGGUUCAGAAGUUUACAUACACUCAAUUAGUGUUUGGUAGCAAUUGCCUUUAAAUUGUUUAACUUUGGUCAAACAUUUCAGGUAGCCUUCCACAAGCUUCCCACAAUAAGUUGGGUAAAUUCUGGCCCAUUCCUCCUGACAGAGCUGGUGUAAUUGAGUCAGGUUUGUAGGCCUCCUUGCUCGCACAUGCUUUUUCAGUUCUGCUCAUAAAUCUUCUAUGGGAUUGAGGUCAGGGCUUUGUGAUUGCCACUCCAAUACCUUGACUUUGUUGUCUUUAAGCCAUUUUGCCACAACUUUGGAAGUAUGAUUGGGAUCAUUGUUCAUUUGGAAGAACUAUUUGCGACCAAGCUUUAACUUCCUGACUGAUGUCUUGAGCUUCAAUAUAUCCACAUAAUUUCCAUCCUCAUGAUGCCAUCUACUUUGUGAAGUGCACCAGUCCCUCCUGCAGCAAAGCACCCCAACAACAUGAUGCUGCCACCCCCGUGCUUCACGGUUGGGAUGGUGUUCUUCGGCUUGCAAGUCUCCACCUCUGAACAUAACAAUGGUCAUUAUGGCCAAAGAGUUGGAGCAGUGACUUCUUCCUUGCUGAGCGGCCUUUCAGGUUGUUUUACUGUGGAGAAAGAUACUUUUGUACCUGUUUCCUCCAGCACGUUUGCUGUUGUUCUGGGAUUGAUUUGCACUUUUCGCACCAAAGUACGUUAAUUUCGAGGAGACAGAACGCGUCUCCUUCCUGAGCGGUAUGACGGCAGCGUGGUCCCAUAGUGUUUAUACUUGCGUACUAUUGUUUGUAGAGAUUAACGUGGUACCUUCAGGCGUUUGGAAAUUGCUCCCAAGGAUGAACCAGACUUGUGGUCUACAAUUUUGUUCUGAGGUCUUGGCUGAUUUCUUUUGAUUUUCCCAUGAUGUCAAGCAAAGAGGCACUGAGUUUGAAGGUAGGCCUUGAAAUACAUCCACAGGUACACCUCCAAUUGACUCAAAUGAUGCCAAAUAGUCUAUCAGAAGCUUCUAAGGCCAUGAUAUCAUUUUCUGGAAUUUUCCAAGCUGUUUAACUUAGUGUAUGUAAACUUCUGACCCAUUGGAAUUGUGAUACAGUGAAUUAUAAGUGAAAUAAUAUGUCUGUAAACAAUUGUUGGAAAAAUGACUUGUGUCAUGCACAAAGUAGAUGUCCUAACCGACUUGCGAAAACUAUAGUUUGUUAACAAGAAAUGUGUGGUGUGGUUGAAAAACGAGUUAAUGACUUCAACCUAAGUGUAUGUAAACUUCCGACUUCAACUGUAUGUAAUGCUUUUGUUAACUUUAUAGAAUUCAAAAAAUUAGACAUAGAUUAAUAACUUUAAAUCCCCCAAAAUAUGUCACUAUAACUGUACUUUAAACAAUGCAUAAACAUAAUGUUUUGCAUUAUAAAGCACCUGCAGUAUGUUUUAUGACUGAUAAACAGUCCAAUUUAAACAGAUAACAUGUAUAAUGUGUAACUAUUUGUCAUUUUGAAGUGUUUUUUGUGUGGAUGUGAAUGCCACCGCAAUUCAAGAACGACCCAUAAAGGGUUAUUCGGCUGUCUCUCUCUCUCUCUCUCUCUCUCUCUCUCUCUCUCUCUCUCUCUCUCUCUCUC
Long non-coding RNA from Oncorhynchus tshawytscha (Chinook salmon), 2407 nucleotides. NCBI's taxonomy places the organism in Eukaryota, Metazoa, Chordata, Actinopteri, Salmoniformes, Salmonidae. The record is from Ensembl.